GAUGAACGCUGGCGGCGUGCCUAAUACAUGCAAGUCGAGCGAACGGACGAGAAGCUUGCUUCUCUGAUGUUAGCGGCGGACGGGUGAGUAACACGUGGAUAACCUACCUAUAAGACUGGGAUAACUUCGGGAAACCGGAGCUAAUACCGGAUAAUAUUUUGAACCGCAUGGUUCAAAAGUGAAAGACGGUCUUGCUGUCACUUAUAGAUGGAUCCGCGCUGCAUUAGCUAGUUGGUAAGGUAACGGCUUACCAAGGCAACGAUGCAUAGCCGACCUGAGAGGUGGUUCGCCCCCCCGGGAACGGGGCCACGUUCCAGCCUCCUCCGGGAGGCGGCAGUGGGGAUUCUUCGGCAUUGGGCGAAAGCCUAACGGAGCAACGCCGCGUAAGUGAUGAAGGUCUUCGGUUCGUAAAACUCUGUUAUUAGGGAAGAACAAAUGUGUAAGUACUGUGCACAUCUUGACGGUACCUAAUCAGAAAGCCACGGCUAACUACGUG
This 496-nucleotide ribosomal RNA is filed under the name uncultured bacterium. RNAcentral describes it as "partial 16S ribosomal RNA". It matches the Rfam family "Bacterial small subunit ribosomal RNA", at positions 28 to 507 of the family's 1533-position model. The record is from RNAcentral.